This 503-nucleotide ribosomal RNA is filed under the name uncultured bacterium. RNAcentral's name for it is "partial 16S ribosomal RNA". It matches the Rfam family "Bacterial small subunit ribosomal RNA", at positions 28 to 523 of the family's 1533-position model. The record is from RNAcentral.
GACGAACGCUGGCGGCAGGCUUAACACAUGCAAGUCGAGCGGGGUGAUGGUGCUUGCACUAUCACUUAGCGGCGGACGGGUGAGUAAUGCUUAGGAAUCUGCCUAUUAGUGGGGGACAACAUCUCGAAAGGGAUGCUAAUACCGCAUACGUCCUACGGGAGAAAGCAGGGGAUCACUUGUGACCUUGCGCUAAUAGAUGAGCCUAAGUCGGAUUAGCUAGUUGGUGGGGUAAAGGCCUACCAAGGCGACGAUCUGUAGCGGGUCUGAGAGGAUGAUCGGCCACACAGGGACUGAGACACGGCCCAGACUCCUACGGGAGGCAGCAGUGGGGAAUAUUGGACAAUGGGGGGAACCCUGAUCCAGCCAUGCCGCGUGUGUGAAGAAGGCCUUAUGGUUGUAAAGCACUUUAAGCGAGGAGGAGGCUCUUUUGGUUAAUACCCAAGAUGAGUGGACGUUACUCGCAGAAUAAGCACCGGCUAACUCUGUGCCAGCCGCCGCAGUAA